This is a non-coding RNA of Phascolarctos cinereus (koala), 592 nucleotides long. The record is from RefSeq and is a predicted model, not a curated record. NCBI's taxonomy places the organism in Eukaryota, Metazoa, Chordata, Mammalia, Diprotodontia, Phascolarctidae.
GUGGGGAGGAACAGCAAGCCACGAAUCACGUCUCUACAGCUUCCCCCAGAGCGUAGCAGCAUUGAAGUGUUAAAGAAGUUUCCAUGCCAAGAAUUCUCCAUGCUGAUGAAAUCAGAGUUCAUCCUGAAAGCACGUCCCAAACAGUUUUUAGGGAAGGGGUUAAACAAGAAAGUGUUCAUGGAACUGGCAACACUAUAGAUUUUGUGAAUCAUUGAACAUCUUUGUGGGCCAUCAUCAUCAUCAUUAUCAUCACCAUCGCUACAAUCAAGCUUGUUUAAUACCUUCCUCAUCUCCUGAGGAAAUGAAUACUCAUCUUUUGGAGAAGUUAAUAUCUAGCAGCAGGAACUUGUGGUGUGUAGAGAAGACCUAGGAUAACUGACUGCAGGGGUCAACAUUGGGCAGGCCAGGACAAAGCUGACCCAGGAGCUGAUUGGCCCCAGCUUCCUGAUCAUGUGCAGGAAUAAAAAGUCUCAGUCACAUGGAGUCUAAGGUUCUCAGAUAUGACUGCAAGCUCCGUGACAGCAGAAAUGAACAAAGAAGAUUUACCUCGAGCCCCCAAGCGGACGAUAGGCUGUCACAGAAAUACCUUUCG